UAUACGUGGAAAAAUUUGAUUGCUUGCAACCACUUAAAAAAAUGCUAAAAA
This 51-nucleotide non-coding RNA is filed under the name human gut metagenome. The record is from RNAcentral.